UACGUAGGGUGCGAGCGUUGUCCGGAAUUAUUGGGCGUAAAGAGCUUGUAGGCGGUCUGUCGCGUCUGCUGUGAAAAUCCGGGGCUCAACCCCGGACUUGCAGUGGGUACGGGCAGACUAGAGUGUGGUAGGGGAGACUGGAAUUCCUGGUGUAGCGGUGAAAUGCGCAGAUAUCAGGAGGAACACCGGUGGCGAAGGCGGGUCUCUGGGCAUUUCCUGACGCUGAGGCGCGAAAGCGUGGGGAGCAAACGGG
RNAcentral lists this ribosomal RNA (253 nucleotides) under uncultured bacterium. RNAcentral describes it as "partial 16S ribosomal RNA". It matches the Rfam family "Bacterial small subunit ribosomal RNA", at positions 524 to 776 of the family's 1533-position model. The record is from RNAcentral.